RNAcentral lists this ribosomal RNA (467 nucleotides) under uncultured bacterium. RNAcentral's name for it is "bacterial SSU rRNA". It matches the Rfam family "Bacterial small subunit ribosomal RNA", at positions 329 to 793 of the family's 1533-position model. The record is from RNAcentral.
AUCCAGACUCCUACGGGAGGCAGCAGUGAGGAAUAUUGGUCAAUGGGAGAGAUCCUGAACCAGCCAAGCCGCGUGAGGGAAGACGGCCCUAUGGGUUGUAAACCUCUUUUGUCGGAGAACAAAACCCGGGACGUGUCCCGGACUGCGUGUAUCCGAAGAAAAAGCAUCGGCUAACUCCGUGCCAGCAGCCGCGGUAAUACGGAGGAUGCGAGCGUUAUCCGGAUUUAUUGGGUUUAAAGGGAGCGUAGGUGGAUUGUUAAGUCAGUUGUGAAAGUUUGCGGCUCAACCGUAAAAUUGCAGUUGAAACUGGCAGUCUUGAGUACAGUAGAGGUGGGCGGAAUUCGUGGUGUAGCGGUGAAAUGCUUAGAUAUCACGAAGAACUCCGAUUGCGAAGGCAGCAUACCGGCUCCACACUGACGCUGAGGCACGAAAGCGUGGGUAUCGAACAGGAUUAGAUACCCCGGUAC